Molecule: unclassified non-coding RNA, 307 nt
Filed under: fungal sp.
Lineage: Eukaryota; Fungi
Description: partial internal transcribed spacer region
Rfam family: Eukaryotic small subunit ribosomal RNA (bases 1-46)
Source: RNAcentral
AAGUCGUAACAAGGUAACCGUAGGUGAACCUGCGGUUGGAUCAUUAACAAAAAUUUUAAUCUCGAGUCCAUACUAAUUUUUGGUAAGGACUCUUGAACAAAAUGUGAACUGUUUUAAAAAAAAGAUUUUGGGUUGGGUUUUUCCUGAAAGGGAAAACGUAAGUUUGUUCACUCUUUUGUGAACUUUGCCUGCCCAAGAUAAAAUUAUUAGACCUAGUAGAAAAAAUUGUCUUUAAUUUGAAAAGCUUUUUUUAGCUUAAUUUAUAUUAAGAAAAAAACAACUUUUGACAACGGAUCUCUAGGCUCUC